Molecule: ribosomal RNA, 363 nt
Filed under: Triticum aestivum (bread wheat)
Lineage: Eukaryota; Viridiplantae; Streptophyta; Magnoliopsida; Poales; Poaceae
Description: partial small subunit ribosomal RNA
Source: RNAcentral
AUGCAAACCACUGUUUUUAGUGAUGAUGAUGAUGCUUUAAUCUGGAAACUAGAGUCCAAUGAUGUCUAUUCAGUUAGAUCUAUGUAUGCCAUGGUCAAUUUUAGGGGCAUUAGCCAAGUCCAUAUUCCUGAUAUGUGGAAAAUUCAUGUCCCUCCUAACAUCCAUAUUUUUUUGUGGUUGGUAGCUCACAAUAAGAUGUUAGUGAGGGAUAAUCUUAGUAAGAGACAACAUUCAGAUGACUUAUCUUGCUUGUUCUGCUCUGAAGGUGAAAAUAUCAACCAUUUGUUCUUUGAAUGUGUUGUAGCUCUGGAAAUCUGGAGAAUUAUUCACUCCAUUAUAAACUGCUUCCCUUGCCUAUUCUGA